This 253-nucleotide ribosomal RNA is filed under the name uncultured bacterium. RNAcentral's name for it is "partial 16S ribosomal RNA". It matches the Rfam family "Bacterial small subunit ribosomal RNA", at positions 524 to 776 of the family's 1533-position model. The record is from RNAcentral.
UACGUAGGGGGCAAGCGUUGUCCGGAAUCAUUGGGCGUAAAGAGCGCGUAGGCGGCCCUGUAAGUCCGCUGUGAAAGUCAAGGGCUCAACCCUUGGAUGCCGGUGGAUACUGCAGGGCUAGAGUCCGGAAGAGGCGAGUGGAAUUCCUGGUGUAGCGGUGAAAUGCGCAGAUAUCAGGAGGAACACCGAUGGCGAAGGCAGCUCGCUGGGACGGUACUGACGCUGAGGAGCGAAAGCGUGGGGAGCAAACAGG